GUAUAACCGUGGUCAUACUGAUACCUACUGAUUGCUGAUUGCAAGCAGCAAUAAUUCACAGAAUCAGUGGCCUCCUCCAAAAGUAAGUGCUCAAAAUUUACCACCUAAGCACAAGAAGGAAAUCAAACCCCACAAAUUAGGGAAAUUAGAAUCGACGCACAGAUCCACCCACUUCUCCACUGCAAUACAGCUUCUGCGGCGGCGGCGGCGGCUUGGGGUUCCUACACUACACGCUUAUCCCGUCCACGCCACACUGCUUGUAUUUCAGCGACUGGCUCCUCGGGCUGAUGGCGAUUGCGCAAUCCACCGACACCUGCAGAUUGGGGCUCGUUCACACAUUACGUCAGUUUCGCCCGCGGAAGAGUGUUUUUAGUGUAGGGCAAAAACACUUGCGGCGGAAGCGAACGGAUGUUGUUGGUCCCCGUUGCGGGUGGCGUGUCGAUUCGUACCUGCACUUUUGGGGAGGAGAAGCCGAGCACGAGGAUCUUCGCGCCGACGUCGCCGGUGAUGCGGAGCUCGACGCGGUCGUUGAUCGCGGCGUCGCGGAUGAGGUCCUGCGCGUCGGCCUGGAGCACGUUGAAGCGGUCGACAAUGACGCGGGUCUGGAGCAGGCGGGUGCUGUGCGCGGGCUGCUCGAACCCGGGCACCGCCGCCACCCCGAGCGGCACCCCGUGGUACAUGACGUCGAACUUGGUGGCGCCGUACCGGAUGCCCACCUUGUUGGGGUUCUGGGCGGUGAAGAGCAGCGUGAUGUUGAGGGAGAUGUAGGCGGCGCCCGGGGUCGCGGGGGGCAGGCCGGCCGGGGACGUCGGCGAGGCCACGAGGAGGUACUGCACGGACACCUGGUCGAGGUCGAACUGCGGCUUGCGGGGCUUCACCACGAGCACGACGACGAGCGCGAUGGCCAGGGCGAGGAGCGCCAGGAAGGUGAGCAGCAGGAAGAGGCAGCAGCAGCAGCCGCGGAAGGAGGCGGACCCCCCGCCGUACCCGUAGUGCGGGCGGCGCUGCGGGUACCAGGACCCCGCGCCGCCGUGGCCGUGGCCCUCGCCGUUGGAUCGGGCCGUCACGGUGCCGGCCGCCAUCUCCCGGAGAUGGAUGGGAGGCCGCCUGGGGAGAGAUGGCUUUGGAUUUUUGGAGCCUACUGGGGCAUCUGCGAGGUGUGGUGCGGUGCAGCGGUGGUGGAAGUGCGGGCGGAGGCCGAGGGGAAAGUUUGGCGAGGCG
This 1221-nucleotide unclassified non-coding RNA is filed under the name Zea mays. RNAcentral's name for it is "misc RNA Zm00001eb011540". The record is from RNAcentral. Lineage: Eukaryota; Viridiplantae; Streptophyta; Magnoliopsida; Poales; Poaceae.